AAAUAAAUAAAAAUUUAAAAAAAAAAACUGGAAUGAUACAGAGAAGAUUAGCAUGGCCCCUGUGCAACCAUGACACACAAAUAUCUGAAAUGUUCCAUAUUUUU
Nyctereutes procyonoides (raccoon dog) is the source of this 104-nucleotide small nuclear RNA. Lineage: Eukaryota; Metazoa; Chordata; Mammalia; Carnivora; Canidae. The record is from RefSeq and is a predicted model, not a curated record.